ACUGCGCAGGCGCUGCGGGAGGCCACUGGUGCUCAAGCACCUCGGAUUCCCGCUCAUACAGCCGGCCGGAUCAUGUGGCAGUCAGGUGGCGACCACUAUCUAGCCCAACGUUGCUGGAGUUGUUGCAGCUCUGCCGGGCCCACAUAUCAGCGUUCGUGCAUGACGGUGAGUUGCCACCCAUGGCAUCUCUGGACCAGUUGCAGGCCAGAUUUGGGAACAGCCCGCCUGGCUCCCUGUCCUCCCUGAGGCUGAUGCAGGCAGACAGCCUCCUGUGGAUGGGUCACAAAAUGACUGUGCAGCAGCCGAAGGCCCCUGGAACCCAGACAGAUGUGCUACUGGCUGACCUUCAGCACUGCAGGUACCUGUGCCAGCCCCCAGCCCCGCCUCCUGUUGGCCCUCCCACGGAAGACAAGGGUGUGUGGCCGUAGUCAUGGCCAGAAUCUUCACUUCUGGGCCAGCACCCGGCAUGGAGCCCUUCUGCUGGGGCGAUCCCCCCACUGGAAAGUGGGUGGGUACCAGUUGUGUGUGCAAUGCCCUGUAGGCCUGAGAGGAGGUGGGGGUGUGGAAGGCACCAGGAUGAGGUAGGCGGUGGGUGCUGGCCCUCCCACUGCUGGGCUGCGUGACCUGGGAUCAGUCUUUCCUCUGUCUGAUGGCAGGUGCAGAUUGCCUGCCCUGGCACGUGGUGGGCAGUCUGGGCCCAGGAGCAUCUCCCACCCUGUGUGGCUGGGGCCUGCUCGUGAGUGGCCUGCUGUCCUCCUGCCCAGCAAGCUGCACCACCCUGGCCUGUUGCUGCUGAUGGCACUGAGUCCCUCUGCAGAUCUGUCGGGGCUGUGCCUUCUCUUUGAGCCUGUGUGGCUGGGCUCCCUGCAGGGGGUGCUGCACCCACCGAGACCAAGUGAGGAGGCACCUGGGACUGUGCUGGGCCUGCCGCCCCGGCCCCCUGCUGCAGCAGGUGCUAAAGGCCCUGCUGUUCCUGCAGGCCCACUGGCGAGCUCACAGUGGCUUCAGCUCUCACACCGUGUAGCUGGUGCAGCCAGGCCUGGCUAAAGUGGGCCACCUGGAGCACAGGCGCCUCCUACGCCAGCGCUGGCUGCGGCCCAGUUUUCCUGUCUGGUGGCGGGUGCAGGUCCCUGUCCAGCAGCCGUCGGCUCACCAGGGCCCUUGGGCUCCACAGGCAGCAGAAGGGCUACCCCUGGGGAGGCCCAGGCCCAGGGCUUCCCCCGCCCCCUGAACUACACCCAUGGCUGCCACUUCAGCUGAUCUGCGGUGACAUGCCCACCACCACCUCAGACCUCUACAGCUUCUGCAUCCUGAUCCAGGAGGUCUUCACUGAGAAACUGUACAUCAAGUGGCUCACAGAGCCAAGACCACACCCAGGCCUGUGGCCCCUGUGAUGUCCCCAGGCCCCAUCCCAUGCCAGGCCUGAGACUCCUGAGGUCAGAGACCACAGCAGGAUCCCAAGGGGUGCAGCCUGGAACUUGGGCAGCAGCUUGACUCUAGGCAGCAGCUCUGGGCCCAGCCCAGGACCCAGCCCUGGGUCUGGCCACAGCCCCACAGCCAGGGUCAGCCUGCACUGCUGCCUGGAGCCCAGCUCAACAGUACAGAUACCCCCAGAGCCCUGCACAACUGUCCCACUGCUAACCUGUGACCCCCUCCGCCCGCCCUCCAGGAGUCACCAACCCGAAGUUCCCUGGCUGCCUCUCCUUUGACCAGGGAACUUUAGGGUCGCCCAACUGUCCCCUCACUCACCUAUGACCCUUAACCAACCCUGCUUCCCCCAGGGCCCUUCCCUGCACUCCAACUCCAGCCUCUAGGACUCAGCCUCCCUGCUGGGGACCCAGAGCUCUGCGGAACAGUUUGAGGAAGCUCUCAGCCAAGAUUCCAGCCCUGCAGGGGCUGCUGCGGCGCACACACAGGGUUAUUCUGCUGGAGCCCCAGCCCUGCACCCGGUACUGAGCUGACUAGAGGAGGUCUCUUCUCCAGCCUGCAGAAGAUGGACCUGCUGGAGGAGAUCAUAGCAGAGCUACAAAAAGGAUGUCAGCUUGGAGAAAAGCCCAGCCUGAGCCCCACUCCUGACCUAGACUCCCAGGGUGCCCAUGGUUCCCCUCUCUGCAGAUACCACCUCUCAGAGGCUCCCAGGAGUAACUCCUGCCUUGGUGCCUCCCCAAAAGGAAAUAGAAUGAUAAAGUGC
RNAcentral lists this long non-coding RNA (2191 nucleotides) under Homo sapiens (human). Its description in RNAcentral is "non-protein coding lnc-PRODH2-5:1". The record is from RNAcentral. Lineage: Eukaryota; Metazoa; Chordata; Mammalia; Primates; Hominidae.